CUCUCUUUAGCUCAGUUGGAAGAGCAUGAGACUGUAAAUCUCAGGGUCCCCGGUUCGAUCCCGGGAGGGGAGA
Molecule: non-coding RNA, 73 nt
Organism: Ogataea parapolymorpha DL-1
Lineage: Eukaryota; Fungi; Ascomycota; Pichiomycetes; Pichiales; Pichiaceae
Source: the annotation of a RefSeq genome assembly